This 500-nucleotide ribosomal RNA is filed under the name uncultured bacterium. RNAcentral's name for it is "partial 16S ribosomal RNA". It matches the Rfam family "Bacterial small subunit ribosomal RNA", at positions 30 to 523 of the family's 1533-position model. The record is from RNAcentral.
AUUGAACGCUGGCGGAAUGCUUUACACAUGCAAGUCGAACGGCAGCACGGACUUCGGUCUGGUGGCGAGUGGCGAACGGGUGAGUAAUGUAUCGGAACGUGCCCAGUCGUGGGGGAUAACGUAGUGAAAAUUACGCUAAUACCGCAUACGAUCUAUGGAUGAAAGCGGGGGAUCGCAAGACCUCGCGCGAUUGGAGCGGCCGAUAUCAGAUAAGGUAGUUGGUGGGGUAAAGGCCCACCAAGCCAACGAUGUGUAGCUGGUCUGAAAGGAUGACCAGCCACACUGGAACUGAGAGACGGUCCAGACUCCUACGGGGGGCAGCAGUGGUGAAUUUUGAACAAUGGGCGAAAGCCUGAUCCAGCCAUUCCGCGUUCAGGAUUAAGGCCCUCGGGUUGUAAACUGCUUUUGUACAGAACGAAAAGGUUUCUACUAAUACUAGGAGCUCAUGACGGUACUGUAAGAAUAAGCACCGGCUAACUACGUGCCAGCAGCCGCCGUAA